Long non-coding RNA from Mus musculus (house mouse), 440 nucleotides. RefSeq annotates it as predicted gene, 30912. The record is from RefSeq and is a predicted model, not a curated record. The transcript is spliced from 3 exons. Lineage: Eukaryota; Metazoa; Chordata; Mammalia; Rodentia; Muridae.
GCAGAAGGACAAGUGUUUCAGGUCUCUGGCUGGGUCAUUCUGCCAUGCACAGGGUGGCCUCUUAAUGAACAACAGGGUCAGAGGUCAACAACACUGAGUCUGGGAAACCUGCCCCAGGUCCCUGUGAAUGAAGGUAAAACUUACCCAGUGCUGUGUCAGAGCAGGGAGGAGAGGUCCUGCUUUGCACAAGAACACCUGAGAAUAUCUGCUGAGACGAUGAAAGCUUUGCUGUUGGCUCAUGUCGCAGAGACUUUGGUGCUGGCUCUGUUUCUGAGCAUUAUGAUGGGAGCGAGAAGAGGGAAAGAUCUGCUCACAAUUGGCCAAGAGGAUGACAGCUCUUGCUUACUACUGACCACUGAGUUCCUCUACAUGCAUUGCCAGAAAUGUCCAGCAGAGGGCGCCCAGCCCUGUGGAUCUUUUUAGAAGACAGCCACCCUGGU